AACUCCAUGGUCGAGUGGUUAAGACCCGCCCAGAUGAUCUUUGCGCAGAUCGACGUCUUAACUGGGCGGUCGCUCGUUCAAUUCGGGCUGGAGCCG
This is a non-coding RNA of Mycena crocata, 96 nucleotides long. NCBI's taxonomy places the organism in Eukaryota, Fungi, Basidiomycota, Agaricomycetes, Agaricales, Mycenaceae. The record is from the annotation of a GenBank genome assembly.